This is a non-coding RNA of Pelobates cultripes (western spadefoot toad), 274 nucleotides long. Lineage: Eukaryota; Metazoa; Chordata; Amphibia; Anura; Pelobatidae. The record is from the annotation of a GenBank genome assembly.
GUUUUAGUGAGUCUGUAAUGCAAUUUCCAAACUGUAUACUUACCAUAAGUAUCCUCACCCUAGACCACUGACUGCGAUUUCACUGCUGUCUCGGCAUAUACAGGGUCAGACAAAACUAAACUUAUAAUGAAAUCACCAUGCUAUCUUGGCCAUUUUCUUUUCGUUUUCCAUACCAGUGAUAGGUCAGCAUGGUUAGGUUUCCUUAAAGUGUUUGAAUAUCUUAUUGAAUAGAGCUCUUCAAAUGUUCAAGUCCUACACUGCUAGCCAGGACUUA